UCCAGUGAUCGGGUCGGUUGGCCUGUUNACUGAUGCUUGUGCGGUUUCGUCCGUGGCUGGCAGAGCUCACGCUGAAGCUGGACUAGUGACAAGACUGCCUUGUGGACGUUUUCAGGUGUGUGCUUUGUCUUCGGGCUUAGUAUCCUGACCGACAUCAAAACGAUCGAACUGGAACUGGUACGGAC
This 185-nucleotide ribosomal RNA is filed under the name Oesophagostomum dentatum (nodular worm). RNAcentral's name for it is "partial 28S ribosomal RNA". Lineage: Eukaryota; Metazoa; Nematoda; Chromadorea; Rhabditida; Strongylidae. The record is from RNAcentral.